AUAAUAAGAUAAAGUGUUGAUAUCUAUUUUAAAGUAUCUAGUUCCUUUCUUCAUAGUUUUUAAUAUUUACUUAAAUAUAUUGUAAUAUUUUUAAGGUAAUGAUCACAAUACUAUAUCUAUCAGUCCUACUCCAUCUCCAAAAAUAUCAACAGGCUAUUCAAAAGUAUUAUGCUCUCCAACUGCAAAUUGGACUGUGGAUAACAUUGAUAAAAAUAUAAUUUAUGAAAACGAUAAAAAUGGCGACACUUUAAGAGUGAAAAGAGUAUUAUUUCAUGAAAAUAAUAUACCCAAGAAAUCAAAAAUAUUCCAAAACGAAUCAAAUACAUCUACACAAAAUAAUUUUAACAUUGAGUCUUUUAAGUCAGAUAAUCCAGAUUAUGAAAAAUAUAUUUUCACAA
Molecule: long non-coding RNA, 398 nt
Organism: Myzus persicae (green peach aphid)
Lineage: Eukaryota; Metazoa; Arthropoda; Insecta; Hemiptera; Aphididae
Exons: 3
Source: RefSeq, a predicted model, not a curated record